GACGAACGCUGGCGGCACGCUUAACACAUGCAAGUCGAACGAGAGAAGAGAAGCUUGCUUUUCUGAUCUAGUGGCGGACGGGUGAGUAGCACGUGAGCAAUCUGCCUUUCAGAGGGGGAUACCGAUUGGAAACGAUCGUUAAUACCGCAUAACAUAAUUGAACCGCAUGAUUUGAUUAUCAAAGAUUUAUCGCUGAAAGAUGAGCUCGCGUCUGAUUAGCUAGUUGGUAAGGUAACGGCUUACCAAGGCGACGAUCAGUAGCCGGACUGAGAGGUUGAUCGGCCACAUUGGGACUGAGACACGGCCCAGACUCCUACGGGAGGCAGCAGUGGGGAAUAUUGCACAAUGGAGGAAACUCUGAUGCAGCGAUGCCGCGUGAGGGAAGAAGGUUUUAGGAUUGUAAACCUCUGUCUUCAGGGACGAAAAAAGACGGUACCUGAGGAGGAAGCUCCGGCUAACUACGUG
RNAcentral lists this ribosomal RNA (465 nucleotides) under uncultured bacterium. RNAcentral's name for it is "partial 16S ribosomal RNA". It matches the Rfam family "Bacterial small subunit ribosomal RNA", at positions 28 to 507 of the family's 1533-position model. The record is from RNAcentral.